This 305-nucleotide ribosomal RNA is filed under the name uncultured bacterium. Its description in RNAcentral is "bacterial SSU rRNA". It matches the Rfam family "Bacterial small subunit ribosomal RNA", at positions 337 to 633 of the family's 1533-position model. The record is from RNAcentral.
UCCUACGGGAGGCAGCAGUAGGGAAUUUUCGUCAAUGGGCGCAAGCCUGAACGAGCAAUGCCGCGUGAACGAGGAAGGUCUUCGGAUCGUAAAGUUCUGUUGACGGGGAAAAAAGACCGGGAAAGGAAAUGAUCCCGGAGGAGAUAUUACCCGUCGAGGAAGUCACGGCUAACUACGUGCCAGCAGCCGCGGUAAUACGUAGGUGGCGAGCGUUAUCCGGAAUGAUUGGGUGUAAAGGGUGCGUAGACGGGCAAUUAAGUUAGUUGUGAAAUCCCUCGGCUUAACUGAGGAACUGCAACUAAAAC